UACGUAGGGGGCUAGCGUUGUCCGGAUUUAUUGGGCGUAAAGAGCUCGUAGGCGGCUCAGUAAGUCAGGUGUGAAAACUCCAGGCUCAACCUGGAGACGCCACUUGAUACUGCUGUGGCUAGAGUCCGGUAGGGGAGCAUGGAAUUCCUGGUGUAGCGGUGAAAUGCGCAGAUAUCAGGAGGAACACCAGUGGCGAAGGCGGUGCUCUGGGCCGGAACUGACGCUGAGGAGCGAAAGCGUGGGGAGCAAACAGG
This 254-nucleotide ribosomal RNA is filed under the name uncultured bacterium. RNAcentral describes it as "partial 16S ribosomal RNA". It matches the Rfam family "Bacterial small subunit ribosomal RNA", at positions 524 to 776 of the family's 1533-position model. The record is from RNAcentral.